GACUCCGAAUUAGAGGACAAAACAGUCCGGAAGUGGGAAAAAGUUGCGGCGGUGGCUAUAAAUUGAUGGAAAUGGUGGGAAGAAACACAUGAAUUGGACUCUAACAAGACCUAACCAGUAACAAGAUCUCGACCAGGACACAAACUCAACACUACGGACUCUGAAACUGAAAUAUGCACAGGCUAUGGCGCGGAUGGGAUGUAGGACAUGAAAACAAUAUAGCAGUAGACUUAUGGGACGAACACAAGGACACUUGAAACUAAGGAUAGAUGUGAACCUAACGGUACGUCUGAAGCUUUGAUUAACACUUGAGGACAACAAGUGUGUCCCGAUCUUCCGAAAGGUUCUGGUAACUAUCGAUUUGGUGGAAACGAGACCCAAAUCAAUCCACCUUGCGAACAACGCGGUUUGAAACCCUGCAAUUCUUUUUAUUUUUUUGAUAUUUUUCUUUUACUUAGGAGCACUCAAGAAGUAACCACAGAAAAUUUGAGCUUAAAUAAGUGAAAGACGUGGUAUGUGGAAUUUUUUGAAGAUUGCGAAAAAUAUGAAAAUAAACUUUAGGAGGUGAAAACUCAAAAUUAGAGGCGAAUUUGGGGAUUCUAAAUUUGUCGAACCCACCAAUGGUGGGGAUAGACAGACCCAAAAAUUUUUUCUGAUUGAUUUUGAUUUAUGGAACGUCAAAAUCGGAGAUCGUAUGCGAAAGUUAUGGUUGUUUUAAGAACGGACUCAGAAUUAGAGGACAAAACGGUCCGGAAGUGGGAAAAUUUUGCGGUGGUGGCUAUAAAUUGAUGGAAACGGUGGGAAUAAACACACAAAUUGGACUCUAACAAGACCUAACCAGUAACAAGAUCUUGACCAGGACACAAACUCAACACUACGGACUCUGAACUGCAAUGGCUAUGGCGCGGAUGGGUUGUAGGACAUGAAAACAAUAUAGCACUAGACUUAUGGGACGAACACAAGGACACUCGAAACUAAGGAUAUAUGUGAACCUAACGGUACGUCUGAAGCUUUGAUUAACACUUGGGGAGAACAAGUGUGGCCCGAUCUUCCGAAUGGUUCUGGUAACUAUCGAUUUGGUGGAAACGAGACACAAAUCAAUCCAGCUUACGAACAACACGAUUCGAAACCCUACAAUUCUUUUUAUUUUUUGUUUGAUAUUUUUAUUUUACUUAGGAGCACUCAAGAAGUAAGCACAUGAAAUUUGGGCUUAAACAAGUGAAAGACGUGACCUGUGGAAACUUUUGAAAAUUGCGAAAAAUAUGAAAAAAACUUUUGGAGGUGAAACCUCAAACUUUAGAGUGGAAUUUGGGGAUUUUUAAUUUGUUGAACCUGCCUAUGGGGGGAUAGACAGACCCAAAAAAUUUUUCUGAUUGAUUUUGAUAUAUGGAACGUCAAAAUCGGAGUUCGUAUGCGAAAGUUAUGGCUGUUUUACGAAUGGACUCCGAAUUAUAGGACAAAACAGUCCGGAAGUGGGAAAAAUUUGCGGCGGUGGCUAUAAGUUGAUGGAAACGGUGGGAAGAAACAUACAAAUUGGACUCUAACAAGACCUAACCAGUAACAAGAUCUCGACCAGGACACAAACUCAACACUACGGACUCUGAAACUGAAAUAUGCAAAGGCUAUGGCGCGGAUGGGUUGUAGGACAUGAAAACAAUAUAGCACUAGACUUAUGGGACGAACACAAGGACACUCGAAACUAAGGGUAGAUGUGAACCUAACGGUACGUCUGAAGCUUUGAUUACCACUUGAGGAGAACAAGGCCCGAUCUUCCGAAAGGUUCUGGUAACUAUCGAUUUGGUGGAAACGAGACACAAAUCAAUCCAGUUUGCGAACAACACGAUUCGAAACCCUGCAAUUCUUUUUUUUUUGAUAUUUUUCUUUUACUUAGGAGCACUGAAGAAGUAACCACAUGAAAUUUGAGCUUAAACAAGUGAAGGACGUGGCCUGUGGAAUUUUUUGAAGAUUGCG
Molecule: long non-coding RNA, 1971 nt
Filed under: Sorghum bicolor (sorghum)
Lineage: Eukaryota; Viridiplantae; Streptophyta; Magnoliopsida; Poales; Poaceae
Description: long non-coding RNA (SBIC_LNC010497)
Source: RNAcentral